RNAcentral lists this long non-coding RNA (444 nucleotides) under Linum usitatissimum (flax). Its description in RNAcentral is "long non-coding RNA (LUSI_LNC003790)". Lineage: Eukaryota; Viridiplantae; Streptophyta; Magnoliopsida; Malpighiales; Linaceae. The record is from RNAcentral.
UCGACAUCGUCAACGUCGACAUCGGAAUCAUCCUUGAACUCCUGGAAGUCAGCCUCGAAAUCGUCGUCGAGAUCUACGACCACGGCAGGCUUGGAGUAAGGCUUGCUGACUGAUUUUGACUUGAGAUCGGGCCAGAGGAAGUCGGAGGUGAGCCUCCUAGAGGAGGUUCGUGCAGCGACGGAGGUGGGUGGUAUGAACCCGGAGAUGAUAGCACCGCCACACAUGGUCGGUGGUUGUCUUGUCGGCGGCGGCUGAUUGUGAAGUUAAACGGAUUUAGAGUUGCAGGAAGAAGAUCGAAGAUGAAAGGAAUGGGUUUUGCGCGUGUUUCUUUUGCCGUUCAGAUGAAAUGGGGAUUGAGUAAACGAGAGAAAGGUUGGAACUUGAACCAGAGUUUUUUUGAUUCCGGAAAGAAGGAGACUGAAAGAAAGGAUUUUGCAUUUUAUU